Molecule: ribosomal RNA, 351 nt
Filed under: Triticum aestivum (bread wheat)
Lineage: Eukaryota; Viridiplantae; Streptophyta; Magnoliopsida; Poales; Poaceae
Description: partial small subunit ribosomal RNA
Source: RNAcentral
AUGCAACUUGUCACCUGUGGUCGAACGACGGUCAACAUUAACGGCGAGAUUGGUCCCUACUUCCCCACCUUAUGUUGGGUGCGCCAGGGUGACCCGUUCUCCCCGUUCCUUUUUAACAUGGUUGUCGAUGCCCUUGUGGUCAUCCUUGAUAAGGCCAAAGCCUGCGGCCAUAUCCGGGGCAUUGUCCCCCACCUAGUGGACGGAGGAGGGGUUUCCCUCCUCCAAUACGCGGACGACACCAUAUGUUGGGGAACAUUGCAGAAAAUAAAUUUUUUUCUACGGCUUCACCAAGAUCAAUCUAUGAGUUCAUCUAGCAACGAGAGAGAGGAGUGCAUCUACAUACCCUUGUAG